CGAUAAGCAUAGUGUCAUGAUAACGAACCAGCAUAAAUAGUUCAUAUUACAAGUAUUGAUCUUACAAGAAACUUAUGUACAUGAAAUAUUUUUCAAGAAACAGGACUAAAAACACAACUAGUACUACUGCUAAGAUUACAUAACUAGUGACAAAAACAAACAGUGCCUUUCUUCUCACUUAUAAUGGCGAUGGAUCCUGCUCUAUUUACCAAAGCAAGUUGUAAAAUACCAAAUACCAAGUAUGCACAUAGCCAACAGUACCUUUGAUGCUUCUCUUCGACCAGGUUUCAGCAUUGCUCUGGACCCUUCAAAAGGACAUGUCUUUGAUGGAGCUUAAUUGUUCUUAGAAACUUUCGUAAGAAAAUCUUGAAUCUAGGAUAUCCAACUGUCUUUUUAUCCAUGGUGGAUCAUCUGUCCUGAGCCAGAGAACUUCACCAGUAUCUCUGUUCUUAAAGUCGGGGUAUUUAGGAUUGACUUUACUCUUCCUGAAGUCCAUCCAUUCAAAAGGGCUAGCGAAGAAAAUUUGCCACAAUUGGAUCCGGUUCCUGUAGUUCUCCAAUUCAUCUUCACCUCUUGAUUCUUUCUUCUGAAAUUCUGGGGUCGCUAAGGCUUGAACAUCUGGAGUCACGAAAUUUAUUUCCUUCACAUCUACCUGGUAUCUCAUCUUAUGUUUACCAUUCUCAUCAGUCUUGAUGUAUGAUCCCAAAUGACCCCAAACAUAUACCAGGUCAUUUGAUUUCAAAUGCUCCAUUGACACUUCCGCCAUUUCAUCCCACAUCUUCAACAUAACUUUAAAAGAUGGACGGGAUUGAGAAGAACCGGAGACACUGAGUAAAGUAUGAACCCCAAAAGAGCCGUUUUUAGUGUUAACUCUUUUGAAUGGGUAAUCAAUUUUUCCUAUGAGACUGACGGAGUUAUGGAGAAGCUGAAGUUGUUUUAUCGUUGAUGGGCGUUGAAAUUUGAGGGUGUGCUGAUACACUGCACUUUCUUCGCCUUCACUACCGUCACAGUAGAAAUCGCCCGGCCGGUGAAUCUCC
RNAcentral lists this unclassified non-coding RNA (1037 nucleotides) under Hevea brasiliensis (rubber tree). Lineage: Eukaryota; Viridiplantae; Streptophyta; Magnoliopsida; Malpighiales; Euphorbiaceae. The record is from RNAcentral.